GCUUAACACAUGCAAGUCGAGGCUUAUCAGGAAGAAAGCUUGCUUUCUUUGCUGGCGACCGGCGCACGGGUGAGUAACACGUAUCCAACCUGCCCUUUACUCGGGGAUAGCCUUUCGAAAGAAAGAUUAAUACCCGAUAGUAUAAUGAUUCCGCAUGGUUUCAUUAUUAAAGGAUUCCGGUAAAGGAUGGGGAUGCGUUCCAUUAGGUUGUUGGUGAGGUAACGGCUCACCAAGCCUUCGAUGGAUAGGGGUUCUGAGAGGAAGGUCCCCCACAUUGGAACUGAGACACGGUCCAAACUCCUACGGGAGGCAGCAGUGAGGAAUAUUGGUCAAUGGGCGCGAGCCUGAACCAGCCAAGUAGCGUGAAGGAUGACUGCCCUAUGGGUUGUAAACUUCUUUUAUAUUAGAAUAAAGUGCAGUAUGUAUACUGUUUUGUAUGUAUAAUAUGAAUAAGGAUCGGCUAACUCCGUGCCAGCAGCCGCGGUAAUACGGAGGAUCCGAGCGUUAUCCGGAUUUAUUGGGUUUAAAGGGAGCGUAGGUGGACUGGUAAGUCAGUUGUGAAAGUUUGCGGCUCAACCGUAAAAUUGCAGUUGAUACUGUCAGUCUUGAGUACAGUAGAGGUGGGCGGAAUUCGUGGUGUAGCGGUGAAAUGCUUAGAUAUCACGAAGAACUCCGAUUGCGAAGGCAGCUCACUGGACUGCAACUGACACUGAUGCUCGAAAGUGUGGGUAUCAAACAGGAUUAGAUACCCUGGUAGUCCACACAGUAAACGAUGAAUACUCGCUGUUUGCGAUAUACAGUAAGCGGCCAAGCGAAAGCAUUAAGUAUUCCACCUGGGGAGUACGCCGGCAACGGUGAAACUCAAAGGAAUUGACGGGGGCCCGCACAAGCGGAGGAACAUGUGGUUUAAUUCGAUGAUACGCGAGGAACCUUACCCGGGCUUAAAUUGCAGUGGAAUGAUGUGGAAACAUGUCAGUGAGCAAUCACCGCUGUGAAGGUGCUGCAUGGUUGUCGUCAGCUCGUGCCGUGAGGUGUCGGCUUAAGUGCCAUAACGAGCGCAACCCUUAUCUUUAGUUACUAACAGGUCAUGCUGAGGACUCUAGAGAGACUGCCGUCGUAAGAUGUGAGGAAGGUGGGGAUGACGUCAAAUCAGCACGGCCCUUACGUCCGGGGCUACACACGUGUUACAAUGGGGGGUACAGAAGGCAGCUACCUGGUGACAGGAUGCUAAUCCCAAAAGCCUCUCUCAGUUCGGAUCGAAGUCUGCAACCCGACUUCGUGAAGCUGGAUUCGCUAGUAAUCGCGCAUCAGCCACGGCGCGGUGAAUACGUUCCCGGGCCUUGUACACACCGCCC
This 1355-nucleotide ribosomal RNA is filed under the name uncultured bacterium. Its description in RNAcentral is "bacterial SSU rRNA". It matches the Rfam family "Bacterial small subunit ribosomal RNA", at positions 46 to 1395 of the family's 1533-position model. The record is from RNAcentral.